UCUAUGUAUAUAAAAUAGUAAUUGUAUAAGUAAAUAAAGUAUUUUUUAUUUUAGUAAAGAUAUUGAAAAAAUUAUAUUAGGGAUAAAGAAUUAGUAUUGUGAGAGAAAGUUUAUUAUUGGAAAUGAAGAAAAAAUAAAUUUUUGUACCUUGGGUAUCAGGGUUUAUUAAAAAGGUAUUAAAAUUUUAAUUUUCUCGAAUUUGAAAGAGCUAUUUAUUUAGAACUUUUAUUGUAGCAUUAAUAUUGUAAAUAUAUAGAUAGGGGUGAAACGUUAUUCGAUUUCAAAUAUAUCUAGUUUUUUAAGAAAGAAAUUUAAUUUUUUUUUAUUUUAGUAUAUUUUUUACUUUUUAGUAAUGUAUUAGAUAGAGGGAAUAGCUUAGGGGUUGAGCUUUAGGCUAAAUUUAUAUAAUAAAUUGGUUUAUUAGGUAGAAUAUAUAGGGUUUGGAGUUUCUAUUUAAAGUGAUUUAUAUCUUGGUUUUGAAAUAGUAUUAAGAUUUAUUAAAUUUAUUUAUGUUUUUUAUUGAAAUUUAGGCUUAAAUUAAGAUUGUUUAGAAAAAAUGAUAAAAUUAGUAUAAUAUUUAUUAUUUGUUUAAGUUAUUUAAAGGUUUAGUUAAGGAACUCGGCAAAUAUAUUUUCCACCUGUUUAUUAAAAACAUGUCCUUUUGAUAAUAAUUUAAGGUCUAACCUGCCCAAUGAUUAAUUUUAAAUGGCCGCGGUAUACUGACCGUGCAAAGGUAGCAUAAUCAUUAGUUUUUUAAUUGAAAGCUUGUAUGAAAGGUUGAAUGAGAAGGUUUCUGUCUCAAUUAAAAUUUUUUAGAAUUUUAUUAUUUUGUAAGAAGGCUAAAAUAGAUGUAAAAGACGAGAAGACCCUAUAGAGUUUUAUAAUUUGGGUAGAAAGAGUAAUAAGAAUCUUUUUCUUUAUUUAUUUGAAUUAUUUGGUUGGGGUGAUUGAAUAAUUAAAUAAACUUUUUUUGUUUAUAUAUCACUGAUAUGUGAAUAACUGAUCCUUUAUAAAGAUUAUAAGAAAAAAUUACCUUAGGGAUAACAGCGUUAUUUUUCUAGAGAGUUCUUAUCGAAAGAAGAGUUUGCGACCUCGAUGUUGGAUUAAAAUUAAGGUUUGGUGUAGAGGCUAAACUAUUAGGUCUGUUCGACCUUUAAAAUUUUACAUGAUCUGAGUUUAAACCGGCGUGAGCCAGGUUGGUUUCUAUCUUUACAAGGAUAAUAUUUUUUAGUACGAAAGGACCAAAAAUUUCCUAAAUUAGGUUGAAUUUUGAAUAUUAUU
RNAcentral lists this ribosomal RNA (1281 nucleotides) under Scolytinae sp. BMNH 1274290. Its description in RNAcentral is "large subunit ribosomal RNA". The stretch from base 851 to 1213 matches the Rfam family "Bacterial large subunit ribosomal RNA", at positions 2073 to 2647 of the family's 2925-position model. Lineage: Eukaryota; Metazoa; Arthropoda; Insecta; Coleoptera; Curculionidae. The record is from RNAcentral.